RNA transcript from Ricinus communis (castor bean), 768 nucleotides. RefSeq lists it as uncharacterized. The record is from RefSeq and is a predicted model, not a curated record. The transcript has 2 exons. NCBI's taxonomy places the organism in Eukaryota, Viridiplantae, Streptophyta, Magnoliopsida, Malpighiales, Euphorbiaceae.
UAGUUUUAUUAGCUCACUAAUAUAAAUUUGUAUAAAGUAGGUUUUUUGAUCAACUUUUACCGUAGCUAAAUACAUAAACUUAAAUUUGUAAAUAUUUUAAUUCAACCAAACAAAUGUUUGCGAAGUUUUUACCUUCUCAGUUUGGAGGCAAAGGAAUUCUAGAGCAAAGGUAAAUUGCCUCGAUAAACUAGUUAAUAGAAAACAGAAACAAAGAAAGAAAUGGCAAGAGUUUCGUUGGACAUGAGAAAACUACUGUGCCAAAAGCCUUGCACAACACUCCUAAUCUAGAAACCCUAUCUGCUACCCUCAGCCCUUUUCUUUCAUUUCAGUAAUCACGAACAGCGAUUCAGUGAAGUAAUGGCGUCAAAGCUAGCUCAGUUGCAAUCAAAGGCAACACAAGCCUCGCAGUUCGUGGCGAAGCAUGGUUGUGCUUACUUCAAGCAGCUACUAGAACAGAACAAGCAGUAUAUCCAAGAACCACCCACUGUUGAAAAGUGCAAUCUUUUGUCAAAGCAAUUGUUUUACACUCGUCUUGAAAGGUUUUCAUUUUCUUUUCCCCUUUAUCCACUUCUUGGGUGCUAAAUUAACUACUUGCAUUGCAAUGUCAUGUUGAUUGAAUUCAGUCCCUAGCAAUUGCACAUGUUUAUUUUAAUGUACUUGGCUAUUGCUCUGAUCUGAUUUCAAUUAGUUUUAUGAACUAAACAAUAAAUAAUUGGGAUGAGUAAGCUCUGUUAAUAAAGAUCUUUGGCCUAGAUUUUCAUGCUGCAA